This 204-nucleotide long non-coding RNA is filed under the name Trifolium pratense (red clover). Its description in RNAcentral is "long non-coding RNA (TPRA_LNC006649)". The record is from RNAcentral. Lineage: Eukaryota; Viridiplantae; Streptophyta; Magnoliopsida; Fabales; Fabaceae.
GAUCAUUAAACCAUUUAUAAUUUCAAGAUUUAGAUCUAUUCAUCAUUUUUUCAUCUUUUGAUAUUAAGUUCCUCUUUAAGAUCUGAAUUCAAUUAUUGUUUUCUCCUCCUCCGAUCUACAUCAUCCUCUUCUCCUCUUUCUCACCCCUCUGAUCUGUUUCAUCAUCGAUUUGGCUCAAUUGAAAAGUUUUUUUUAGCGAGAAAA